GGGGAAUAUUGGACAAUGGGGGCAACCCUGAUCCAGCCAUGCCGCGUGUGUGAAGACGGCCUUCGGGUUGUAAAGCACUUUAAGUGGGGAGGAAGGCUCGCUGAUUAAUAAUCAGCGGGAGUGACGUUACCCACAGAAUAAGCACCGGCAAACUCCGUGCCAGCAGCCGCGGUAAUACGGAGGGUGCAAGCGUUAAUCGGAAUUACUGGGCGUAAAGCGCACGCAGGCGGUUUGUUAAGUCAGAUGUGAAAUCCCCGGGCUCAACCUGGGAACUGCAUCUGAUACUGGCAAGCUUGAGUCUCGUAGAGGGGGGUAGAAUUCCCGGUGUAGCGGUGAAAUGCGUAGAGAUCUGGAGGAAUACCGGUGGCGAAGGCGGCCCCCUGGACGAAGACUGACGCUCAGGUGCGAAAGCGUGGGGAGCAAAC
RNAcentral lists this ribosomal RNA (425 nucleotides) under uncultured bacterium. Its description in RNAcentral is "bacterial SSU rRNA". It matches the Rfam family "Bacterial small subunit ribosomal RNA", at positions 356 to 773 of the family's 1533-position model. The record is from RNAcentral.